This 301-nucleotide ribosomal RNA is filed under the name uncultured bacterium. RNAcentral describes it as "partial 16S ribosomal RNA". It matches the Rfam family "Bacterial small subunit ribosomal RNA", at positions 509 to 809 of the family's 1533-position model. The record is from RNAcentral.
CAGUCGCCACGGUAAUACAGAGGGUGCGAGCGUUAAUCGGAUUUACUGGGCGUAAAGCGUGCGUAGGCGGCUUCUUAAGUCGGAUGUGAAAUCCCUGAGCUUAACUUAGGAAUUGCAUUCGAUACUGGGAAGCUAGAGUAUGGGAGAGGAUGGUAGAAUUCCAGGUGUAGCGGUGAAAUGCGUAGAGAUCUGGAGGAAUACCGAUGGCGAAGGCAGCCAUCUGGCCUAAUACUGACGCUGAGGUACGAAAGCAUGGGGAGCAAACAGGAUUAGAUACCCCGGUAGUCCCUGUCUCUUAUAA